GCGGCCGCUCCGCGUUUCAGUGCCGCGGCUUCAAAUACCUUGCAGUAGUCCAGCGUGGCGACCAUCUCGUAGGACCCCAGCGACAGCUCCGGCCGCUCGUAGAAGUCCACCCGGCGGCCCAUGUGAUCCAAAUGUUGGAAAGCGACACCUUCGUUGACGCAGUUGCAGAACGCGCACUGGUAGCGGCGGCCGCCGUCGAGGAACUGCAUGUAGGGACACAUGUAGGCCUUGCAUCGGUUGCAGCGGAUGGGGCCGCUUUCGCCGUGGUUCACCAGACUUCAAGUUACCACCGAAGAAACGACGGAGCGCUCCGAUUCCUACAGCCUACAGUCAUCUGCACAGCUAUGGUCGUCAAAAUUAAAGUUUGGAAGAAUUUGACCCAAGGGUAGCAUAUACAGGCUGAACAGGAGAGGUCCAAGAACUGACCCUUGAGGGACCCCAUAGGUGAUUGCCAUUCGCUGAGACCAAGCGCCUCCAAUGGUCACAAAGUAGCUCCUUUCCUCCAGGGAAGUCCGCAGACCUUUGUGGAUGAGCCCCGUUCUGCUGGCUGUUUGGAUUGUAAGGACCCGACACGGGAGGCGGAGGCAUGCCGGGAGCCGAGGACACCGGCGACUUCAUUGCAGCUAAG
This is a long non-coding RNA of Syngnathoides biaculeatus (alligator pipefish), 628 nucleotides long. RefSeq lists it as uncharacterized. Lineage: Eukaryota; Metazoa; Chordata; Actinopteri; Syngnathiformes; Syngnathidae. The transcript is spliced from 4 exons. The record is from RefSeq and is a predicted model, not a curated record.